This 525-nucleotide ribosomal RNA is filed under the name uncultured Thelebolales. Its description in RNAcentral is "eukaryotic LSU rRNA". The stretch from base 162 to 315 matches the Rfam family "5.8S ribosomal RNA". Lineage: Eukaryota; Fungi; Ascomycota; Leotiomycetes; Thelebolales. The record is from RNAcentral.
GACUGCGGAGGAUCAUUACCGUGGGGCUUCGGCCCCGUCGCGAUAGAACCCUUGCCUUUUUGAGUACCGUCCGUUUCCUCGGCAGGCUCGCCUGCCAAUGGGGACCCAAAACCAAACUCUUUUUAUCAUCUGUACCAGUCUGAAAAACAAACAAAAGUUAAAACUUUCAACAACGGAUCUCUUGGUUCUGGCAUCGAUGAAGAACGCAGCGAAAUGCGAUAAGUAGUGUGAAUUGCAGAAUUCAGUGAAUCAUCGAAUCUUUGAACGCACAUUGCGCCCUCUGGUAUUCCGGGGGGCAUGCCUGUUCGAGCGUCAUUACAACCCUCAAGCUUUGCUUGGUAUUGGACAUUGCCAGUUUCUGGCAGGUCUUAAAAUCAGUGGCGGUGCCAUUUGGCUUCAAGCGUAGUAAUUCUUCUCGCUUUGGAGAUCCAGGUGGUUACUUGCCAAUAACCCCCAAUUUUUUCAGGUUGACCUCGGAUCAGGUAGGGAUACCCGCUGAACUUAAGCAUAUCAAUAAGCGGAGGA